RNAcentral lists this long non-coding RNA (1594 nucleotides) under Mus musculus (house mouse). RNAcentral describes it as "myocardial infarction associated transcript". Lineage: Eukaryota; Metazoa; Chordata; Mammalia; Rodentia; Muridae. The record is from RNAcentral.
AGUUCUGUUAAGAGCUGGGCACAAAGAGCCCUUUGCACUCCAGCCGCAGGAGCGAGGAGGAGCCGAGCCCUUACCAUUCCUCCACUUAUGGGCCUUAUCCCAGACCUGGGGCGUCCAGCGCAGCCUCAAACCCAGGGCAUCUCUGCACUCUCAUCGCGACGUCGCUCUGGAUGCUGUUUGCAUAUCCUUGGGGAGUCACUGCUUUGGCACAACAGUCCUGCGAGGUGCUGGAAUUCCGUCUGUUCUCAUCACACGGACAUGGCUGAUCUGUCUCAGUGGUACCUGGGGGCAAAGCAGGGAGCCGGGCGGUGGAGGCCAACAUUGUUACCAAGUUGGCUCUGUCUCAACACAGGGACUGAGCCUUCUGAGCCUCAAGAGUUCCUGCUGGUUCCCAGGUGGUGGAAGAGUGGAGAGAUUUGGGAAAGGUCACGACUAGCCUGCAAAGCAGCCUUGCAGAUAAGUAUCAUUUCACCAGCCUGCCUGCUCUCUGCUGGUGCGUGUGAGAAAGGGUCAGCUCUGGAAUCCCCAACGGGAGGGAGGAUGGCCGUCCUGUGACUCUGGCUCUUGAAGAUGUCAUUUGUAAGCUUGAACAGGCUCCUGGGUCUUGCAGACACAGGGGGACCUCCUCAGGGUUCCUCCACUCAGGAUCCUCCAGGAUCCUGGGACAGUAGGCUCUAAGAGCAGCUAUGAGAUGUCUCACCUUCCUUGGCUCGGGGUUUGGAGGACAGAUGUAGCAUGACUGUCAGGAAAGAGCAAACCUGAGUCCUGGUGUGGAAUGCAGGCACUCCCUUCUCUCUUCCACCACCCUGGUGACUUGCAGUGGUCCACACAAGCUCUGCACACUUUGGCCACCUGUUUUUUUGUUGUGGGAGUCACAGGAAGGAGGGGACUGAGGUGGGCAGAGGGCUGCUUUCAUUUCUCAACCAUGCCUUGAAUGGCCACUAUAGUUCCCUUGUGGGACAGGGCAGGGAUCAGAGAGAGGCACAGGCUUCCAGCAGCCGGGACAGUUCUAAGCUUAGAGUUCUAGAUCCCCCUCUGUCAGCACUGCUCACCCUGUUGUCCCCUAUCUGCCCAGUUUACUUUGAGUUUUUCUGGGUCACACAAGAACCCACAAUGCUCUAGGUGACAGAGGAGGAGGAGGAGGAGGCAAAUGGCUCCUGAGCCAAGGCAGGGCUUGUGCAAGGUCAUCUCCUGGGGUGCAUCUUGUGUGUGUGUGUGUGUGGGGGGGGGUAGCUCUUCUGUCUUCCAGAGUCAUCCAGUGAUGUCUGUGUGGAGGAGGAGCUAGGAGCUAGGCCUUCCAUGAUGUCGAUGAUGUAAUGAUGUCAGGUGGUACUGCUGGGUGUCCAGGGGUGAACGCCAGAGAGAUGGCCCACCCUCUGUGAUCUUCAAGUACGACAAUGCAUCACUACAGCUCAGCAAGCGGACAGCUCUGCACAUCUCCAGACCCUGAUCUGUCUUGGAGCCCUGGAGAUCCCUUGGAUUCUGACCUCCUGGAACUGGGGAGCAACCUGUCUCCCUGAAGACCCUAUCCUUCCCAGUACCUGAGAUGGACCCUCCACCCCCCGAAGAAGAGCCAUUCCUGGAAGAUGUACUA